RNAcentral lists this ribosomal RNA (468 nucleotides) under uncultured bacterium. RNAcentral describes it as "partial 16S ribosomal RNA". It matches the Rfam family "Bacterial small subunit ribosomal RNA", at positions 28 to 507 of the family's 1533-position model. The record is from RNAcentral.
GACGAACGCUGGCGGCGUGCUUAACACAUGCAAGUCGAACGGAAAGGCCCUGCUUUUGUGGGGUGCUCGAGUGGCGAACGGGUGAGUAACACGUGAGUAACCUGCCCUUGACUUUGGGAUAACUUCAGGAAACUGGGGCUAAUACCGGAUAGGAGCUCCUGCUGCAUGGUGGGGGUUGGAAAGUUUCGGCGGUGGGGGAUGGACUCGCGGCUUAUCAGCUUGUUGGUGGGGUAGUGGCGUACCAAGGCUUUGACGGGUAGCCGGCCUGGGAGGGUGACCGGCGACCUUGGGCCUGCGGUACGGCCCAGACUCCUACGGGAGGCAGCAGUGGGGAGUAUUGCACAAUGGGCGGACGCCUGAUGCAGCGACGCCGCGUGCGGGAUGCCGGCCUUCGGGUUGUAAACCGCUUUCGCCUGUGCCGAAGCGUGCGUGACGGUAAUGGGUAAAGAAGCACCGGCUAACUACGUG